RNAcentral lists this ribosomal RNA (465 nucleotides) under uncultured bacterium. Its description in RNAcentral is "partial 16S ribosomal RNA". It matches the Rfam family "Bacterial small subunit ribosomal RNA", at positions 28 to 507 of the family's 1533-position model. The record is from RNAcentral.
GACGAACGCUGGCGGCGUGCUUAACACAUGCAAGUCGAACGGAAAGGCCCUGCUUGCAGGGUACUCGAGUGGCGAACGGGUGAGUAACACGUGGGUGAUCUGCCCUGCACUUCGGGAUAAGCCUGGGAAACUGGGUCUAAUACCGGAUAGGAGCCAUUUUUAGUGUGAUGGUAGGAAAGUUUUUUCGGUGUAGGAUGAGCUCGCGGCCUAUCAGCUUGGUGGUGGGGUAAUGGCCUACCAAGGCGGCGACGGGUAGCCGGCCUGAGAGGGUGGACGGCCACAUUGGGACUGAGAUACGGCCCAGACUCCUACGGGAGGCAGCAGGGGGGAAUAUUGCACAAUGGGCGCAAGCCUGAUGCAGCGACGCCGCGUGGGGGAUGACGGCCUUCGGGUUGUAAACUCCUUUCGCUAGGGACGAAGCUUUUUGUGACGGUACCUAGAUAAGAAGCACCGGCUAACUACGUG